Molecule: ribosomal RNA, 373 nt
Filed under: uncultured bacterium
Lineage: Bacteria
Description: bacterial SSU rRNA
Rfam family: Bacterial small subunit ribosomal RNA
Source: RNAcentral
ACGUAGGGUCCAAGCGUUAUCCGGAAUCACUGGGCGUAAAGCGUGCGUAGGCGGAAAUUUAAGUGAGAUGUUAAAUCGUGUGGCUCAACCAUAUCGAUGCAUUUCAUACUGGGUUUCUAGAGGAAGGCAGAGGCAAGUGGAAUUGGCAGUGUAGCAGUGAAAUGCGUAGAGAUUGCCAGGAACACCAAUGGCGAAGGCAGCUUGCUGGGCCUUUUCUGACGCUGAGGUACGAAAGCGUGGGGAGCGAACAGGAUUAGAUACCCUGGUAGUCCACGCCGUAAACGAUGCAUACUAGUUUUGUGGGGUAUCGACCCCCUGCGAAACGCAGCUAACGCGAUAAGUAUGCCGCCUGGGAAGUACGGCCGCAAGGCUA